GUCCUUUUGAUUUUUAUAUAAGGUCUGACCUGCCCUAUGAAUAUUUAAAUGGCCGCGGUAUACUAACCGUGCAAAGGUAGCAUAGUCAUUUGUCUCUUAAUUGGAGGCUUGAAUGAAGGGUUGGACGAGAUAUAAGCUUUCUUUGUUAUAUUUUAUUGAAUUUGACUUUUGAGUUAAAAGGCUUAAAUUUUUUUAUAGGACGAGAAGACCCUAUAGAAUUUUAUAUAUUUGUAUAAUUGAUUUAUUUAUUUAUUAUUUAAUUCCUUGUUUAAAUAUAUUUUGUUGGGGCGAUGGGAAGAUUUUAAUAACUCUUUUUUGUUUUGAUCAUUGAUUUAUGUUUUAUUCUGAUCCUUUUUUAGAGAUUAUAAGAUUAAAUUACCUUAGGGAUAACAGCGUAAUUCUUUUGGAGAGUUCUUAUCGAUAAAAGAGUUUGCGA
This 436-nucleotide ribosomal RNA is filed under the name Appasus japonicus. RNAcentral describes it as "partial 16S ribosomal RNA". It matches the Rfam family "Bacterial large subunit ribosomal RNA", at positions 1819 to 2523 of the family's 2925-position model. The record is from RNAcentral. Lineage: Eukaryota; Metazoa; Arthropoda; Insecta; Hemiptera; Belostomatidae.